This 158-nucleotide ribosomal RNA is filed under the name uncultured Pseudoxanthobacter sp. RNAcentral's name for it is "partial 16S ribosomal RNA". It matches the Rfam family "Bacterial small subunit ribosomal RNA", at positions 346 to 521 of the family's 1533-position model. The record is from RNAcentral. Lineage: Bacteria; Pseudomonadati; Pseudomonadota; Alphaproteobacteria; Hyphomicrobiales; Segnochrobactraceae.
AGGCAGCAGUGGGGAAUAUUGGACAAUGGGCGAAAGCCUGAUCCAGCCAUGCCGCGUGAGUGAUGAAGGCCUUAGGGUUGUAAAGCUCUUUCAGCUGGGAAGAUAAUGACGGUACCAGCAGAAGAAGCCCCGGCUAACUCCGUGCCAGCAGCCGCGGU